This 1356-nucleotide long non-coding RNA is filed under the name Salmo salar (Atlantic salmon). Its description in RNAcentral is "lncRNA (ENSSSAG00000087298.1)". The record is from RNAcentral. Lineage: Eukaryota; Metazoa; Chordata; Actinopteri; Salmoniformes; Salmonidae.
GGCAGGUCUGGGCUUUACGCGCUGAAUGAUAUACCCUAAUGGCUUUGUCCUUGUUCGAUCGAGCCAUAGAAUUUAUUGCUAAAUAUACAAGCUGACAUUUUUUUCAGUCUUUGAAAGACUACAAGUCGUGUGGGGUGGUGCUUUGUGCUCCGGCCCUGUCCUUCCCCCAAGGCAGGCUCCUUUGAAAGGGAAGCGGACACUAACAGCACAAUCCUUUGGGCAAAAGUAAAAGAACUGACCAGACCACAAAAACUUCAAGUGAUUCCUCUCAUCAACACAAAUUCGAAGACUGAGCUUUUUUUAUUGCUACAUGGUGACAUUCAACCAUACAUGUUUCAACCGGUAUAUAGCGAAGAGGAUUCAGAACAAAGCAUUGAAUUUAGCUCGAUGCUCAGCCAAUGCCAGCACCAAGAGAGUAGAUUACAAAUAUUGUGGCUAGCUAAACAAUACUGUGUAGUGUCUGGGCUUCUUUCUUGAGUGGAUUCUUGGAGAGAAACAGAAUUCCUUUGCCUGCAUGUGUCAUUGUAGCAGAACUGUAUCCCAUGAACUGAAUCUUUCGAUGGAUUGGACAUUAUGCUGGAUUUCAAGCAGAAGAUGACUCAAGAUGAGCUGAAUGUCAGUCUGAUCAUGACAACAUUCCUCCCACAGCUGUGCAAGUGUUCCCUGAACUUACUGUAUGUUUAUUUGGAAUGGCAAUUUCAUAAUGACCACCUCUCCCAGCAUCUGCUGAUCACCAGUUCUCUUAGCUAGAUUGUUACACCAGAUAAUGUGAUUUAACAAGUUUUUUUGUAUGUUAGUUUUACCAUAUAACAUUGUUGAAUACCCAGUUCUCUUUGAGUUAGUAUUAAAUAUUGUACACUCCCCUGUAUUUUAGAUUUGGACAUAAUUAUUUUUAAUAUAUCUGUAUGUCUAACAUCUGUUUGAUGCUGCAGAACCCCGUACAACUUAUAUAAAUAUAUUCUGUGAAUCCAUAAAGGCAGACAAAUUUUGACUGAUUGAAAAUAUCCAUAUUUAAUGGUUCCUUUAUCCGGCUUCAGUACACUGGCAAUUGUGUUUGGCAUGGUGGGCUGUGGAAGCAGAGUGCUUGUGGCGAAUGGUCUUGUCUCGUCUUUGGUGUACAGUGUUACGAACCACUUUGGCCCUGCAGUCUAGGGGGGAUGGAAACAAAACCCGUUACAUAUCUCAUGCAAAUCAUAACAGUGAAAGGAACAGUGAGAACUAAAAGAAAGACAGACAACUUAAACCUACCGUCAAACACUUCAGGUUUAAUUUUAAACACACGGUAAUGGGGUGUGGGAAAAAGGGGCUGAGCUGGACCCAAGGAAAGAAAUAAAUAUCCAAAAACCCCUAAGCUAG